RNAcentral lists this ribosomal RNA (497 nucleotides) under uncultured bacterium. RNAcentral describes it as "partial 16S ribosomal RNA". It matches the Rfam family "Bacterial small subunit ribosomal RNA", at positions 28 to 507 of the family's 1533-position model. The record is from RNAcentral.
GAUGAACGCUGGCGGCGUGCCUAACACAUGCAAGUCGAGCGAACGGACGAGAAGCUUGCUUCUCUGAUGUUAGCGGCGGACGGGUGAGUAACACGUGGAUCACCUACCUAUAUGACUGGGAUAAUUUCGGGAAACCGGAGAUAAUACCGGAUAAUAUUUUGAACCGCAUGGUUCAAAAGUAAAUGACGGUCUUGCUGUCUCUUAUAGAUGGAUCCGCGCUGCAUUAGCUAGUUGGUAAGGUAACGGCUUACCAAGGCAACGAUGCGUAGCCGACCUGAGAGGCUGAUCGGCCACACUGGAACUGAGACACGGUCCAGACUCCUACGGGAGGCAGCAGUAGGGAAUCUUCGGCAAUGGGCGAAAGCCUGACGGAGCAACGCCGCGUGAGUGAUGAAGGUCUUCGGAUCGUAAAGCUCUGUUAUUGGGGAAGAACAGAUGUGUAAGUAGCUGUGGACAUCUUGACGGUACCUAAUCAGAAAGCAACGGCUAACUACGUG